UGGCUCAGUUGGUUGAGCAUCUGAUUUUGGUUCAGGUCAUGAUCACAGUUUGUGGGUUCGAGCCCCAC
This 68-nucleotide transfer RNA is filed under the name Felis catus (domestic cat). It matches the Rfam family "tRNA", at positions 8 to 63 of the family's 71-position model. Rfam says of the family: Transfer RNA (tRNA) molecules are approximately 80 nucleotides in length. Their secondary structure includes four short double-helical elements and three loops (D, anti-codon, and T loops). Lineage: Eukaryota; Metazoa; Chordata; Mammalia; Carnivora; Felidae. The record is from Rfam by way of RNAcentral.